UGGCCGAUCCUCAUGUCCAGCAGGUGGGGGUGUAUGGCCGUGUGGUCGGCCUUCAGCAGCCUGCGCUCAAUGUUCUGAGCUGCGGAGACAAACACAGCAGGGGUUAAGAUCCAACAUGGAUGAAAUGAGUCAAGGAUGGAGGACUGAAACCUCGAGUGGGAGCGAGACACGUGUCGUCGAUCGAUGCAAAUCAAUAGAUCGUCUACCUGCUCCAUCGUCCGGCUCCAGGCCCGUCUCCGUGUCCACCCCACACACCACAAAAUAGUGGGCGAAUCGGCAGGAAGCCGAUCCUGUGGCCGCCGCAGUCCCGUUCAUCCUCGACGCGGUGUGAAUGGUGAGAGAGAGAGAGAGAGGAAAAAAGACAGCUCCGAUUAUUUCUCUGCUUAGCGGGGUUGGAUGUUCAUAGCGGAUGCGGCUAAUCCGGAUUGUUUUUCGGCCCCACCACCCUGGAGCCGUGCGCUGGGUCGCCCGCACCGCCUGCCUGCACUCGCUGCUCCGCCGUGAGAGUGUGAUGGAGCCGAGGACGAUCCGGCGAUGGUCAUCUCGUUUGUUCAGAGGGGGGAGGAGGAUGUGUGUAGG
Molecule: long non-coding RNA, 579 nt
Organism: Acanthopagrus latus (yellowfin seabream)
Lineage: Eukaryota; Metazoa; Chordata; Actinopteri; Spariformes; Sparidae
Exons: 3
Source: RefSeq, a predicted model, not a curated record